This 254-nucleotide ribosomal RNA is filed under the name uncultured prokaryote. RNAcentral's name for it is "partial 16S ribosomal RNA". It matches the Rfam family "Bacterial small subunit ribosomal RNA", at positions 355 to 600 of the family's 1533-position model. The record is from RNAcentral.
UGAGGAAUUUUGCGCAAUGGGAGCAAUCCUGACGCAGCAACGCCGCGUGGGUGAUGAAGGCCUUCGGGUCGUAAAGCCCUGUCAGGUGGGAAGAAUGUCCCGGGACUGAACAGGUUCCGGGAGUGACGGUACCACCAGAGGAAGCACCGGCUAACUCCGUGCCAGCAGCCGCGGUAAUACGGCGGGUGCAAGCGUUAUUCGGAAUUACUGGGCGUAAAGCGCGUGUAGGCGGUGCGGCAAGUCUGAUGUGAAAG